GCGGCUGUGGUGUAGUGGCAACACGGAAGCUUCCCAAGCUUCAAAUGAGGGUUCGAUUCCCUUCAGCCGCU
This 71-nucleotide transfer RNA is filed under the name Fuerstiella marisgermanici. RNAcentral describes it as "Fuerstia marisgermanicae tRNA". It matches the Rfam family "tRNA". From Rfam's summary of the family: Transfer RNA (tRNA) molecules are approximately 80 nucleotides in length. Their secondary structure includes four short double-helical elements and three loops (D, anti-codon, and T loops). The record is from Rfam by way of RNAcentral. Lineage: Bacteria; Pseudomonadati; Planctomycetota; Planctomycetia; Planctomycetales; Planctomycetaceae.